This is a non-coding RNA of Salvia hispanica, 725 nucleotides long. NCBI's taxonomy places the organism in Eukaryota, Viridiplantae, Streptophyta, Magnoliopsida, Lamiales, Lamiaceae. The record is from RefSeq and is a predicted model, not a curated record.
CUUAGUUAUCGGCUCCUCUUGACUGCCGAAACUCCGCAGCUUGAUGCCGAGUCCUACUCUCCCUCUUGCUGCUCCUUCUCAAAUUUUGGGGGUGGUUUAAGGGUGAAGGAACUUGUGUGGCUUCCUUGCCUUCUUGGUGAAAGUCUUGGAAGGUGUUAUGCUUGGUGAUCAAGUCCCUUAAUUAACCAUGUGGUGGGAAAGGAUUUUUCACUCUUUAGGUCAAGGGGAUGACUCACCAUUCUUUAUCCAAUUGUCAUUACAUCCACUUUUGGAAUAUUUGAGAUAUCUUAUUCCUUGUCUCCUUGCAAACACUCUUGCAAGAUCUUUAAUUGGCUCCUUACCACUUUCUUGAAUAACACUUAUCCCUUGGUUUUUGUUGAAGAAGAAAUCUAACUAUUUUUGGGAAUUUCCUUGGCAGGUUGAGGGACAACUCAUGCUAUCUCUAGGAGGCUACUAAUUGACCUCUUGGCAUGGAGUGGGAAUCAAGAAUCGAGAUGUGUGUAGAGAGGAUCCUCAAUGAAGAUUUAGCAAAUCCCUACUUUUGUUUCUUUACUUCAUUUAGCUUUCUUAGGAAAAUUUCUUUCGUAAAGUAGCUAUAUCUUCUCUACUUGUUCCAACACCAAUAUCCAUGUAAUCUUUUUCAUGAAAGGUAGUUCUCCUAUAUUGUAAGGUAUACCUCCAACCUUUCUUCUUUUGAAUAAAUUCCAAUAACACUUGCACGCCUA